RNAcentral lists this ribosomal RNA (450 nucleotides) under uncultured Glomus. RNAcentral's name for it is "SSU rRNA". It matches the Rfam family "Eukaryotic small subunit ribosomal RNA", at positions 569 to 1025 of the family's 1831-position model. The record is from RNAcentral. Lineage: Eukaryota; Fungi; Glomeromycota; Glomeromycetes; Glomerales; Glomeraceae.
AGCAGCCGCGGUAAUUCCAGCUCCAAUAGCGUAUAUUAAAGUUGUUGCAGUUAAAAAGCUCGUAGUUGAAUUUCGGGGUCAGCAGGUUGGUCGUGCCUCUGGUACGCACUGGUUUCGCUGAUUCCUCCUUUCUGAAGAACUGUAAUGUCAUUAAUUUGGUGUUGCAGGGAAACAGGACUGUUACUUUGAAAAAUUAGAGUGUUUAAAGCAAGCUAACGCUUGAAUACAUUAGCAUGGAAUAAUGAAAUAGGACGUUUGAUCCUAUUUUGUUGGUUUCUAGGAUUGACGUAAUGAUUAAUAGGGAUAGUUGGGGGCAUUAGUAUUCAAUUGUCAGAGUGAAAUUCUUGGAUUUAUUGAAGACUAACUACUGCGAAAGCAUUUGCCAAGGAUGUUUUCAUUAAUCAAGAACGAAAGUUAGGGGAUCGAAGACGAUCAGAUACCGUCGUAGUC